GCUUACGGCCACACCUCCCUGAGCACGCCCGAUCUCGUCUGAUCUCAGAAGCUAAGCAGGGUCGGGCCCGGUUAGUAGUUGGAUGGGAGACCCGCCUUGGAAUACCAGGUGCUGUAAGCC
RNAcentral lists this ribosomal RNA (120 nucleotides) under Esox lucius (northern pike). The record is from RNAcentral. Lineage: Eukaryota; Metazoa; Chordata; Actinopteri; Esociformes; Esocidae.